UGGAUGCACAUGUGGCUAGUGACAACAUCACAGAGUAGAGCAAGUAGUCGAAGUUCAGAACGAUAGCAAUCACUCCGACUGCCUGCUUGGCAUUUCGUAGCCUUCCGGUAAGCAAGACCAAAAUCUCAUAGCACCACCAUUCAAGGCAGGUGGUAAGACAACAUGGUCCACUAAGCUUGAGCAGUCUAAGGCAGUCUUCAACACGUUGAUCCCACCAGCCUCCCUCAUUCCAUUUCCCUCCCUUUCUAAUCUCUUUCACCACUACAUACAAGACUAGAAGGAUUGCAGCUAUGAGAUCACUUAUCCAGAUUGCCAUUGAAACCCCUUCAAGACCCUUAGCUUUUGCAAGAAAGAUAUUGAUGGGGAUGUGAAAAGCAAGCGCUAAAGCCGAGCUAAACAUAAUGGGGAUUGUUAUGCUUUGAGAGCUCAAAUAGGCCUUGAGAGGGCAUAGCAAUGAAGUGACAACCAAGUCAGGGAGAAGAUAGAAAAGAUAUGUCUUUGCAACUGCUGAAAUGUCUUCUUUUUGGCCAAAAUGGAUUAGAAUUUUAUCAACAUUAAGCCAUAGGAAAGAAAGAGGCAGUGUAGUUAACAGUAACAAGAUUAUGGUCAUCAAAAGUGUCUUGUGAAGGAGCCUGAAGUUUUUAGCUCCAAAAGCUUGACCACAGAUAGGUUCCAUGGCACCACAAAGUCCAUUGAGGACGGAGAAACCUGUGACAUUAGCGAAGGUGAAACCGAGUGUGCCACCAGCUAACUGGAGCUCCCCUAGCCUGCCUAGAAAAGCUGUAGUCACCGCGAUCUUCACAAACCAGGUUAAGUUCAUGGCCACCAAAGGAAGUGCUAGUCCUCUCUGUAUUUUCAGCUCUGAAAGCAUUAUCUGUAUUAGGUUGGCCGGCCAUUUCUUGGUGGGAUAUGAAACUGAAGGUGACUGAGAUGGUUUGUCAGUUGGGAUCUCUUCCACUCUUGAUGUUGCAGUUGCAGGCAUUAUGGAAGAAAAUUGGUGGGGUUGCUUCAAAAUCCGAAUAUAUAAGAUGGGAAAUCUGGUUUCUUAAAUAAGUAUGAAUUGAAGGCUUAGUGUUUGCUAGUGCACGAGUUUUUUGUGAGGAUAUCAGUUUCUGAAGGAGCAAAUAAGGUGCCUAUUUGUUGCAAGUUCGUAACAGCCAAUUAAUGAAAAGAGAGUUGAGCUGUUGAUUUAAAGUGCGUGAUGAUAAGGCAAAGUUCCAAAGGACAAAUCACCUUUAUAUCUCGUGAGAUAUUCGUUUCAGUGGUUUUUUCUUUCCUUAGAAUAUUUACUAUUGCUGCUUUGGAAUAGUUUUACUAUCUAACUAACCUUUCUAUUUAGCACUUGAUUCAUUGCUUAAAUAGUAACUAAGAUUGUCCUGUAAGGUAAUCAACCAGACGCUUUGCAUGCUUUCUUUUGUUCAUAUAGGGCGAAUAUAGCAUUGAAACAAGGGUAGUUGAAAAAUCAUCUCCAUGUGAGAAGUUUUAAGAGGAAACUAAAUAAAGAACAUUAUCACAUAAUAUUCAAGAGAAAAACAACAUGUUUUCAUCUGGUUUUCAUUUACCCUUUACAUUGCAUUGCAAUUCUAAGGGGUAAAAUGAUUGGAGGAUUAAUAUAAUGAAGGUGGGAGAUUUGGUGUAAAAGGCGUAAGCAAUAAUGCGGUGGUCCUUCAUCUGUUAGCUGCUUUGCGUUUUGAGGAUGAAUCGGGUUUCACUAAAAAUUCUAAGCUAUAAGGAACCAAAAGUGGGGUAGCUAUGCCACUCCAUAUCUAAGCUUUUUGCUUUCAUUUUCUAAAGUAAAUAAUAGUUUAUUUAAUAUUCUUAUCACUUCAUAUUUCUUCAGUUUACAUUCAACUGAGUUUACUUCUCUACAUUUGUAUCGUGCAAUUAGGCAGGAGAAUAUGAGGUUGAAUAAAUCAGUUACAUGUAUUCUUACAGAUAAGUGCAGAGACAUGGCUACUUAAUCUGUGGAAAAGAGGAAUUAGAGUAUAUGUCGAAUGGAAUCAAUAGUAUUUUAUGUGAAAAAUUCUUAGGAAUCACAUGUAGAAGGAAUGUAAGGAGUGCUACUUUAACGGAAGCAUUGUAGAAAGUAAUGGCUUUUUCACCGAGGUUUGAUUCCGUUCGGUUUUCUCAAAUUUUUUUCUCAGCCAUAUUGUUCACUAACAGAUUAUAUGUUAUUGCCUUAAUUUAGUAGCCUGAGAGGGAAGAAAACAUUGAGCCUUUCGAGAUAAACAGGAUCCCAAUUACCAUAUCUUAUCAUAGUGGAAGUAAAAGGGGCUAAGAAUACAACUUUGUAAGAUAUGCUAUCAGUGGGAUUUCAAGGAACUAUGCACCACUUCCCAAUAUUAGAAAAAAGGGUACUUUUUCCUAAAAAGGAAGAGGCACCUGGUUUUCUUUCUGUUGGCUUUUCUUUGUAAGGAAGAAAAGAAAGACAAACCAAAGUUUGUGACUUGUUACAUUUUUCAGUUUCAGUACAUAAUUUACAUACAAAGUGUAGCCUUAUAUAGGAAAAAUAUUACCAACUGCAAUUUGACAAGUUGGAAAGCCUAAGAACUUGAAAUUACACAUUGGCAAUAGCACCGUUAAAAUUAUCCUAUCAAAUUUAAGAUAAAUAAAAUAAGCUAACAACUUUUCUAAACAAGUUGGCAACUUGCCAACAUGUAUCAAACAUCGGGAUAGUCUAUAGUACCUCAACUUGGCAUAGUCAGUUAGCAUCUUGAUAGUCAGUUGGCAAUAGCUAGGCAGCUUGCGUCUUGUGUAUCCGCGAGUCUUGUUCGUAUUUGGACAAUCCGCCAGAUAGUCCGCCAAAGGUUGUCAGCUAGAUAGUUCUCCAACUGACAAUCCACCAUUCUUCUUGCAUUUGGCCUAUCCGUCGGAUGACUUACACCAUUGUUGUUCACGGGACUGCAUGUUCUUGAUUUGUUCGCACUUUGCUUGUCCGCCAAAUGUGCGAGCUGUUGCAUGAAUGGGCUCUCAGAACACUUUCAUUUUCACUUUCUAAUUGUAUAGAAAAGAAAAGAUAGAGAAACCAAUCUAUUUUGGUUUGAUGCAGAUGUUGCAGUCCACUAGGUUGGAGAUGUACGCACGGUAGCAUAGUGUUAUUAUCAAACAAAUUAAUGAACUACCAAUCCUCUAUCAUUGAUUGCACACAAAUUUUAUCAUAAUGAGCUGUUUGGAUGCAAUGAAAAUUCAAGUCUCUAAUCUCUAUACAUCGCCCUUCACUGCAGCAAGGGAAAAAAAAUCAACCAUAUACUUCUAUCGUUGGAAAGAUCCAAUGGCCUCUCAAAAGUUCUAAAAGGAUACGAAAUAUACGAAAUAGGUAUGUCGGCAGAUAUUAUUACUAUGAGCAGCAGCAAGUGAACUAGAGAGCAAAAGGGUAGUAAACAGUCGAUUUAUAAUCUCUAUUAAGAUAUGUUCUUGAAAUUGUUCAAGAAAAUUUUGUGUGCUUUCUCGAGAGGCAUUGGCCUUAUUUGAUGAAAGAUGCACGGUCGGAAAUGAUUGAGCAAUAUCUGGCUGGAAAGCCACCUCAUCUUCCAACUUCUUUUGUUUCUCUUCAUCUAAUUAAGCAAUCUUAGGCUAUUCGGAGAUAAGUCCCAAGUUGCAAUUUAUAUCGGUCCUAUAAUAAUUAAGCCAUGAAGAUUAUGUGUUUAGUGAAAGCCACACUGUCAAAGGGCCAACUCCUGUUGGUAAACAUUGCACUAAGUUGAUAAAUCAGGAAUACGAGUUAAAUAAUUUGAGGCAUGUUAGGCACUACUUUUAAGAAUAUUUUGUCAUAAUGUGUAUUUUUAGGACUCAACAAGCUCAUUCGUUAUAAAAAUACGGAAAAGAAUCAACAAUAGAUCACGACGAAAAGUACUUAACAAUCACAAAAAAAUGAAGAGGACGAGCAAGAGAGGAAUAAUAGAGUUUUUUUAUGGUGUGUUUAGAAUGAAAGUGAGCCAAGAUAUUUUAGAAUAGCAAAUGUAAGUUGAGUAAAAUAAAGUAAGAGGAUUUCCCUUAAACAAAAAUAAUUUUAAAAAAUGGUUUAACUAAUUUAGACUUGACUAAAUAUAGCUUCGUAUAAGCUAUUUUUAGCUUUAACCUUUUAGAAAUUUAGUAAAUAAAAAGUCUAGAAACAAAAGGGUUUGGAUGCCGUGAUGUAUCACGUGCGGCGGGGGUGGCGGGGGGAUCGAUCAAUUUACAUUGGUCUUUUGAGCCUAGUUCUCAUGCGUGCUUGAUGGGUUCCGAGUCCACUAAAAAUAAUAUUCCUACACUUAAAUAGUAUAUAAAUAGUAAUAUAUGGAGUAGGGUUGAUCCCACAAAAACUGGGAUAUCUAAAAUUGUUGUUCGAUUUAACCAAGUUGUAUGUUAGGCAACUGUCGUGCCUAAGAUGUGUGACAAUCUGUGUGAAAAUAAAAAGGGAGUAUUAAAUCUAGUUAAAAUGAAAACAAUAGAAAUAAUUAAAAUCAAAAUAGCAGUAAAAUAAACAAAAAUGAAAUUAUAUUGACUAAAUUGAUGUGACGAUGUUCUAACUUUAGGCUCGAUUUUAGCUCCGGUUUUAAACCAAUCUUUAAUAACAAGUUUUCUCAUUUAAUUGGUAAGUUAGUUAUAGUGAUCGAGGAUGCUUUAGACCAAUAACUCUUCCAUGUGUAAAUUAAUUGCGCGAAUGCUCGACAUAUAACCCUUACUGAAUGAACAACCACAAAACACGUAUCCACGAUUUAACUCUUCGGUAGCCUUACGAACUAGAAGGGCCCAACUCAAAUCAACAACCUCAACUGCGUAGAUCGUUUAAAUACCAUUUCCCUUGAUGAAUCCAACCACUCACUCAAUUGAACAUUCCAGUGACGAAGCUAAAGGGGUUGACAGGGUCUUGCCCAUAAAAUAAAAAAUUCCUUUAUAAUUUAUAAAAUUUUAAAUUAAUAAAAAUAAAUUUAUACUUGGUCCCUCAAAUGCUACGAUUCUUAUCCUAGCUAACUACACCUAUAUCACCCAAUAAUUAAUUAGCUUUCUUGUUCCAAUUCCACUCUUUACUGAUUUAAAUAUUGGUUGGAAUUUAUGGUAAGCUUAAUCAAGUGACACUAAUGGGGCCAAACCAAUCAUGAUAUUAUUAUUAUAGUAUUUGAUUUGAUUUUUAGUGGAAUCAGAGUUGUACCUCUUAACUUUGUUUCACUCCAUAAAUGAUGGGUGCAUGAUGACAACACAACUUGAAUAACUUUCCAAGUGAGUCAAGGAAAGAAACACUAAAAAGACAGAGACAGCAAAACGAAAAAUAAAGUUAAAAUUUUCUUGUACUCAAGUUUAAGGCCUCUCAUUUUCUGGUCUCCACUUAACUCUUAUAAUUGCCAAACAAAAUGGAUGGGUUUUCUUUGCCAAAUUUGAAAAUGGUUCCAUAUAAGUUAUCUAUCAAUUGAAAUGCACCCAAAAGUGUUCCAACUAUCUGCAUUUUAGUGUUAUGUGUGAAUUCUCAACCCUUAAGUCUUGUAUACAAAUUAAAUGGUUCCAUAGACAUUUUUGGGAUGGCCUAGGAAAAUCUAAGCUCUGUGCGGUAUCAUCUUCAACACCUCACCGCACUUAAAGAGAUUCAUUGCAUAUUCAGAACUUCAAUGGAGUGUAAGCUUAGCUGGACAUGUUGGGAAACCUAGCACUUUGCUUCCCUGUUUAGCUUGUUUCUUUGAGCUGUAUUCUGAAUGGACAUAUGAGCAUGACCAUUGUUCUCCAGCAUCCCUGUAAAGCUGUUGCAUUCUGCAAAUUCUUGUCUAGGACAUUCUUCAAGGUCAUAUGAAGUUCUUCAUAUGUAGAAUUCAUGGCAUUGAAGCUCUAACAAUCUUAUCAUCGUGUGCUUUUCAUACUUCGUUGUCAUUUACCUUGUUAACUGUUUCCAGAUUCCCAUCAGAGGCAAGUAUAUGCGCCUUAUCGGCUUCUUCAUGCCACUUUAUUCUCACAACCAUCACCAACAACAAUGCCAAACAUGUUGCCAUCCCAACUAAAAGUCCUAUCAAUAACCCGCUCAGUCCAAGUGCAGCUUUGAAUGCCAAAACAACACCCAACGGUAAAGCUAAGAGAUAGAAGCCCCCAAGGUUUGCAUACAUUGCCAACCAUGGCCGAGCUGUUCCACGAACAAUUCCUCCACAAACAGCUAAGGGGAAGUUUACAACUUCAAUCACUGCCAUUAGCAGCAUCAUCUUUUUCACUCCUGUUAUGAUUCCUUUGUCAUGGCUAAACAGAGGAGCCCAAACGCCUCUCGCGCCCACCAUUGCCAAUGCACCAACGCAACCGGAAAUUGUGCUCACUGCAAGAGUUACGUAUGCAGACUGGUAGGCGGCUAUGGGCUGGUUUGAACCGAGCUCAUUAGAUACACGAGUAGAUGCACACGUGGCAAGUGAUAACAUCACAGAGUAGAGCAAGUAGUCGAAGUUCAGAACGAUAGCAAUCACUCCGACUGCCUGCUUGGCAUUCCGUAGCCUUCCGGUAAGCAAGACUAGAAUCUCAUAGCACCACCAUUCAAGGCAGGUGGUAAGACAACAUGGUCCACUAAGCUUGAGCAGUCUAAGCCAGUCUUCAACUCGUUGAUCCCACCAUCCUCCCUCAUUCCAGUUCUCUCCCUUUCUAUUCUCUUUCACCACUACAUACAAGACCAGAAGGAUUGCAGCUAUGAGAUC
This 6638-nucleotide long non-coding RNA is filed under the name Gossypium raimondii (Peruvian cotton). Its description in RNAcentral is "long non-coding RNA (GRAI_LNC002414)". The record is from RNAcentral. Lineage: Eukaryota; Viridiplantae; Streptophyta; Magnoliopsida; Malvales; Malvaceae.